GUGCUGGCUUCAGUGGUACAUAUACUAAAAUUGAAACAAUGUCGAGAAGAUCAGCAUGGUCCCUGCACAAGGACCAAAUCUGUGAAGUGUUGCAUAUUUCU
Molecule: small nuclear RNA, 101 nt
Organism: Rhinopithecus bieti (black snub-nosed monkey)
Lineage: Eukaryota; Metazoa; Chordata; Mammalia; Primates; Cercopithecidae
Source: Ensembl